GCAAAUGUUAAUUUGCACUUUGCCUCUUCUGCCUGUCUUUUCUGCUCAUUUUUGAAAAUGAGUGUUAACCUAUUUAAACGCAAUGUGCUGUUUUCUUGAACUGCUCGGAAACGAUUGAAAAAGGAUGAAGAGGGGGACAAAGGGAAGUGACAGCGAUGCUGUCUUUGCACUGCGAUAAUGAACCACCCUUAACACUGGACCUUCAAGCCUCAAGUGGGCAAAAGAGAUUCAAUGUCAGCUAAUUAGCUGAAGUUGCUAAUUAGAUUGUUUUUUUCCCCAGGAAAACACAAAAGACGGAGGUUGACAAAGAGAAGGAAUGAUUUACUCUGCUUAAAUGCACAAGGGUGAAAAUUUCAGCCUCAGUUUAUUUUUAGACUGUUCCAGGGGCCCAGCGAAGAGGGAGCAAGGAUGACACGAUCCCUUAUAGAUGGGUGGAUGUGAGGAAGAGGAAAAGGAGGAGUGGGAGGAAGAAAGCGCGGGCACACACGGGUCGGGAUGCGUGCUCAUUGGAAUACUCAUUCCGACAGCUGUGCUCACAAAAGGUGCUGGGCAUGGACACGGCUGGUAAAAUCAAUAGAGCACUAAGUAGAAGACUUGACUAUUUAAUUGGAGCACACAUGACUUUAUUUAAUUUUCUUAUCAGACUUUCUCUACGUUUUUUUGGUCUUGCUGUACUCCCGAGGGAUAUUUCUGCCUCUCUGGAGCAAAACGCUCUGUUCUGUUCUUGUCUGUCAGGGGUUUGGUGCUGAGCAUAAAGUGUGCACUGAAUUCUUAGAGGAUUUUGUGUUACUUGAUGGAGCUGAAAUGGAUGACAGGGGAUACAAAUAUUAAAAAUGAAAUCAAA
Long non-coding RNA from Phyllopteryx taeniolatus (common seadragon), 844 nucleotides. RefSeq lists it as uncharacterized. NCBI's taxonomy places the organism in Eukaryota, Metazoa, Chordata, Actinopteri, Syngnathiformes, Syngnathidae. The record is from RefSeq and is a predicted model, not a curated record. The transcript is spliced from 2 exons.